RNAcentral lists this ribosomal RNA (435 nucleotides) under Escherichia coli. Its description in RNAcentral is "bacterial LSU rRNA". It matches the Rfam family "Bacterial large subunit ribosomal RNA", at positions 761 to 1194 of the family's 2925-position model. Lineage: Bacteria; Pseudomonadati; Pseudomonadota; Gammaproteobacteria; Enterobacterales; Enterobacteriaceae. The record is from RNAcentral.
ACUAACUGGAGGACCGAACCGACUAAUGUUGAAAAAUUAGCGGAUGACUUGUGGCUGGGGGUGAAAGGCCAAUCAAACCGGGAGAUAGCUGGUUCUCCCCGAAAGCUAUUUAGGUAGCGCCUCGUGAAUUCAUCUCCGGGGGUAGAGCACUGUUUCGGCAAGGGGGUCAUCCCGACUUACCAACCCGAUGCAAACUGCGAAUACCGGAGAAUGUUAUCACGGGAGACACACGGCGGGUGCUAACGUCCGUCGUGAAGAGGGAAACAACCCAGACCGCCAGCUAAGGUCCCAAAGUCAUGGUUAAGUGGGAAACGAUGUGGGAAGGCCCAGACAGCCAGGAUGUUGGCUUAGAAGCAGCCAUCAUUUAAAGAAAGCGUAAUAGCUCACUGGUCGAGUCGGCCUGCGCGGAAGAUGUAACGGGGCUAAACCAUGCAC